AAACGUCUGGGGUGUACGAGGAAUCAGAUAAUGUCUAACCUACAUUAAAAUUAGGGAACCUGAAUUGAUUCGGAAGAUGGAGAAUUGUCCAAGAGGCAAGUAACAGAGACCGAGCUUAAGGAACCCACCUGCGAGUAAGCAGGUUUAGACAUUCAGAGGAACCGGCACUUUGGAAGCCUU
This 180-nucleotide non-coding RNA is filed under the name Quinella sp. 1Q5. RNAcentral describes it as "6S RNA". It matches the Rfam family "6S / SsrS RNA". From Rfam's summary of the family: E. coli 6S RNA was the first non coding RNA to be sequenced, but its function was unknown until recently. The record is from RNAcentral. Lineage: Bacteria; Bacillati; Bacillota; Negativicutes; Veillonellales; Veillonellaceae.